CCCGCUGAACUUAAGCAUAUCAAUAAGCGGAGGAAAAGAAACUAACAAGGAUUCCCCUAGUAACGGCGAGUGAAGCGGGAACAGCUCAAAUUUGAAACCUGGCGUCCUUAGGGCGUCCGGAUUGUAUUCUAGAGAAGCGUCUUCCACGCUGGUCCACGUAUAAGUGCCCUGGAACGGGCUGUCAUAGAGGGUGAGAAUCCCGUCCUUGACGUGGGCUACCAGUGUUUUUGUGAUGCGCUUUCUAAGAGUCGAGUUGUUUGGGAAUGCAGCUCAAAGUGGGUGGUAAAUUCCAUCUAAAGCUAAAUAUUGGCCUGAGACCGAUAGCGAACAAGUACCGUGAGGGAAAGAUGAAAAGCACUUUGAAAAGAGAGUCAAACAGUACGUGAAAUUGCUGAAAGGGAAACGCUUGAAGUCAGUCGCGCCCCCUGGAAUUCAGCCCUGCUUUUGUAGGGUGUACUUUCCAGGGGGCGGGCCAACAUCAGUUUUGACCGGCAGAUAAAGGCUGGAGGAAUGUGGCUCCUUCGGGAGUGUUAUAGCCCCUGGUCACAUAUGCCGGAAGGGACUGAGGAACGCAGCGCGCCCUUGUGGCAAACCUCUCGCGCACUUUCGCGCUUAGGAUGUUGGCAUAAUGGCUUUAAGCGACCCGUCUUGAAACACGG
Molecule: ribosomal RNA, 659 nt
Filed under: uncultured fungus
Lineage: Eukaryota; Fungi
Description: eukaryotic LSU rRNA
Rfam family: Eukaryotic large subunit ribosomal RNA
Source: RNAcentral